GCGGCGUACGGGUGCGGAACACGUGUGCACUGCCUUUAUCUGGGGGAUAGCCUUUCGAAAGGAAGAUUAAUACCCCAUAAUAUGUUGAAUGGCAUCAUUCGACAUUGAAAACUCCGGUGGAUAGAGAUGGGCACGCGCAAGAUUAGAUAGUUGGUGAGGUAACGGCUCACCAAGUCUACGAUCUUUAGGGGGCCUGAGAGGGUGAUCCCCCAACUGGUACUGAGACACGGACCAGACUCCUACGGGAGGCAGCAGUGAGGAAUAUUGGACCAAUGGGUGAGAGCCUGAUCCAGCCAUCCCGCGUGAAGGACGACUGCCCUAUGGGUUGUAAACUUCUUUUGUAUAGGGAUAAACCUACCCUCGUGAGGGUAGCUGAAGGUACUAUACGAAUAAGCACCGGCUAACUCCGUGCCAGCAGCCGCGGUAAUACGGAGGGUGCAAGCGUAUCCGGGAUUAUUGGGUUAAAGGGUCCGUAGGCGGAUCUGUAAGUCCAGUGGUGAAAUCUCAACAGUUAAACUGUGAAAUUGCCAUUUGAUACUGGAGGGUCUUGAGUGUUGGGUGGAAGUAGUGGGAAUCAAGGUAGUGGUAACGGUUGAAAUG
This 600-nucleotide ribosomal RNA is filed under the name uncultured bacterium. RNAcentral describes it as "bacterial SSU rRNA". It matches the Rfam family "Bacterial small subunit ribosomal RNA", at positions 95 to 688 of the family's 1533-position model. The record is from RNAcentral.